RNAcentral lists this ribosomal RNA (473 nucleotides) under uncultured soil bacterium. RNAcentral describes it as "bacterial SSU rRNA". It matches the Rfam family "Bacterial small subunit ribosomal RNA", at positions 26 to 505 of the family's 1533-position model. The record is from RNAcentral.
AGGAUGAACGCUGGCGGCGUGCUUAACACAUGCAAGUCAUGGGGGCCCGAAGCGCAAGCUUUGGGCAACCGGCGAACGGGUGCGUAACACGUGAGCAACCUACCCAGGUGUGGGGGAUAGCCGUCCCAACGGACGGGUAAUACCGCAUACGCUCAACACGAGGCAUUUCGAGUUGAGGAAACCUUCGGGGCACCAUGAGGGGCUCGCGGCCUAUCAGCUAGUUGGCGAGGUAACGGCUCACCAAGGCUACGACGGGUAGCUGGUCUGAGAGGAUGACCAGCCACAUUGGGACUGAGAAACGGCCCAGACUCCUACGGGAGCAGCAGUGGGGAAUCGUUGCGCAAUGGACCUAACGGCUGACGCAGCGACGCCGCGUGAGGAUGACGCUCUUCGGAGUGUAAACCUCUUUGCCUGGAACGAAUUGCCACCAUCAGUGGCUGACGGUACCGGUAGAAUAAGCACCGCUAACUCCG